Mytilus californianus (California mussel) is the source of this 4737-nucleotide long non-coding RNA. RefSeq lists it as uncharacterized. The record is from RefSeq and is a predicted model, not a curated record. The transcript has 20 exons. Lineage: Eukaryota; Metazoa; Mollusca; Bivalvia; Mytilida; Mytilidae.
GAUCCCAGUUACGGCAACCAGUCCGGUACCUACGAAUGUAGUUCUUAAAAAAAAUAUAUAACUUUUAUUUAAAAUGGUGUAGUUUUAUUAUUACACAAGUUCUGUAACUGAAUGUAGAUUUACUUGAAAGGGUAGGCUUUCUAGCUUGAAUUUCUGUAAAAAUUUUGAUUGAUUUAAAUGUAAUCAGGCGUCGGUACAUAGAGUAAAUUGCCUAAAUUCUAGCCUUUAUUCUUCCCCGGAAGUAGAUGGACCUACCCUGUUGUCAAUCGAAACAAAUUUUGCAACGGAAUGCCGGUCAUGAGGCACUGAGAUUGUACUUAGAAACUUCGAAACAAAUGCCUAACAUGAAACAGAAGUCCCAAGCAGUAGAUGAAUGCAGCUAUAUCUUCCUUUGAUUUUGGAACUUUUGAAGAACAGCUUCUGGUUGGUUAACUUGUUUGGACCCAAGUACAUAGAUCUCAGCCACCAACAGUUUGAGUGUCCACCACCACCACACACGUAUGAACUAGUGGGACAUUUAGAGCAGUCACAAGUAUACCAACGCACAGUAGCAUUAAGCAUUCAGGCAGAUCCAGGAUUUCCCUCGACAUUUGUUAAACUGUAGGAGGUGCCGUCUUGACUGGUUUUAGCUACAAGUGAGAACUUCUCUGCAUCUAGCCUCUUCCAUUGUAUAUUAAAUGAACUUAGCUGACUGUUUGAAGACUAAGUCUCAUGAUUUAUACCCUUGUUAUGGGGUAUGCUUCUUUGCAUAUGUAAUUCUUAUAAGAUUUUUUUUUUUAAUUAAAAAAUUAAUUAUAAUUAACUUUUUUUCAGCAAAAUUUUUUUUUAACUAGAUUUCUAUACAAAUAAUGAAUUUAUCUAUCAUGUGCAAUUUACAGAAUGUAAAUAUCUUUUAAAAUAAAAAAGUUUUGCUGAUUUUAAGAAUAUUUUCUUCAUGAAUUUAUGAUUUUAUCCGAUCAAUUUUCUGGUAUUUGAGAUGUCAUAGAUAAGGAUCAAUAACUCUUUAACUGUUGGAUCAAAUCUAUUGAAACUUUGCACAAUAACUACUGAGAUGUAUAUCUUUAUUUAAUAAGUGCAGUUUUAAGUCUAGAAAAAAAAUUAAAGUCUGACAGGAAUAGGAUCCCAGUUACGGCAACCAGUCCGGUACCUACGAAUGUAGUUCUUAAAAAAAAUAUAUAACUUUUAUUUAAAAUGGUGUAGUUUUAUUAUUACACAAGUUCUGUAACUGAAUGUAGAUUUACUUGAAAGGGUAGGCUUUCUAGCUUGAAUUUCUGUAAAAAUUUUGAUUGAUUUAAAUGUAAUCAGGCGUCGGUACAUAGAGUAAAUUGCCUAAAUUCUAGCCUUUAUUCUUCCCCGGAAGUAGAUGGACCUACCCUGUUGUCAAUCGAAACAAAUUUUGCAACGGAAUGCCGGUCAUGAGGCACUGAGAUUGUACUUAGAAACUUCGAAACAAAUGCCUAACAUGAAACAGAAGUCCCAAGCAGUAGAUGAAUGCAGCUAUAUCUUCCUUUGAUUUUGGAACUUUUGAAGAACAGCUUCUGGUUGGUUAACUUGUUUGGACCCAAGUACAUAGAUCUCAGCCACCAACAGUUUGAGUGUCCACCACCACCACACACGUAUGAACUAGUGGGACAUUUAGAGCAGUCACAAGUAUACCAACGCACAGUAGCAUUAAGCAUUCAGGCAGAUCCAGGAUUUCCCUCGACAUUUGUUAAACUGUAGGAGGUGCCGUCUUGACUGGUUUUAGCUACAAGUGAGAACUUCUCUGCAUCUAGCCUCUUCCAUUGUAUAUUAAAUGAACUUAGCUGACUGUUUGAAGACUAAGUCUCAUGAUUUAUACCCUUGUUAUGGGGUAUGCUUCUUUGCAUAUGUAAUUCUUAUAAGAUUUUUUUUUUUAAUUAAAAAAUUAAUUAUAAUUAACUUUUUUUCAGCAAAAUUUUUUUUUAACUAGAUUUCUAUACAAAUAAUGAAUUUAUCUAUCAUGUGCAAUUUACAGAAUGUAAAUAUCUUUUAAAAUAAAAAAGUUUUGCUGAUUUUAAGAAUAUUUUCUUCAUGAAUUUAUGAUUUUAUCCGAUCAAUUUUCUGGUAUUUGAGAUGUCAUAGAUAAGGAUCAAUAACUCUUUAACUGUUGGAUCAAAUCUAUUGAAACUUUGCACAAUAACUACUGAGAUGUAUAUCUUUAUUUAAUAAGUGCAGUUUUAAGUCUAGAAAAAAAAUUAAAGUCUGACAGGAAUAGGAUCCCAGUUACGGCAACCAGUCCGGUACCUACGAAUGUAGUUCUUAAAAAAAAUAUAUAACUUUUAUUUAAAAUGGUGUAGUUUUAUUAUUACACAAGUUCUGUAACUGAAUGUAGAUUUACUUGAAAGGGUAGGCUUUCUAGCUUGAAUUUCUGUAAAAAUUUUGAUUGAUUUAAAUGUAAUCAGGCGUCGGUACAUAGAGUAAAUUGCCUAAAUUCUAGCCUUUAUUCUUCCCCGGAAGUAGAUGGACCUACCCUGUUGUCAAUCGAAACAAAUUUUGCAACGGAAUGCCGGUCAUGAGGCACUGAGAUUGUACUUAGAAACUUCGAAACAAAUGCCUAACAUGAAACAGAAGUCCCAAGCAGUAGAUGAAUGCAGCUAUAUCUUCCUUUGAUUUUGGAACUUUUGAAGAACAGCUUCUGGUUGGUUAACUUGUUUGGACCCAAGUACAUAGAUCUCAGCCACCAACAGUUUGAGUGUCCACCACCACCACACACGUAUGAACUAGUGGGACAUUUAGAGCAGUCACAAGUAUACCAACGCACAGUAGCAUUAAGCAUUCAGGCAGAUCCAGGAUUUCCCUCGACAUUUGUUAAACUGUAGGAGGUGCCGUCUUGACUGGUUUUAGCUACAACAGUAGAUGAAUGCAGCUAUAUCUUCCUUUGAUUUUGGAACUUUUGAAGAACAGCUUCUGGUUGGUUAACUUGUUUGGACCCAAGUACAUAGAUCUCAGCCACCAACAGUUUGAGUGUCCACCACCACCACACACGUAUGAACUAGUGGGACAUUUAGAGCAGUCACAAGUAUACCAACGCACAGUAGCAUUAAGCAUUCAGGCAGAUCCAGGAUUUCCCUCGACAUUUGUUAAACUGUAGGAGGUGCCGUCUUGACUGGUUUUAGCUACAACAGUAGAUGAAUGCAGCUAUAUCUUCCUUUGAUUUUGGAACUUUUGAAGAACAGCUUCUGGUUGGUUAACUUGUUUGGACCCAAGUACAUAGAUCUCAGCCACCAACAGUUUGAGUGUCCACCACCACCACACACGUAUGAACUAGUGGGACAUUUAGAGCAGUCACAAGUAUACCAACGCACAGUAGCAUUAAGCAUUCAGGCAGAUCCAGGAUUUCCCUCGACAUUUGUUAAACUGUAGGAGGUGCCGUCUUGACUGGUUUUAGCUACAACAGUAGAUGAAUGCAGCUAUAUCUUCCUUUGAUUUUGGAACUUUUGAAGAACAGCUUCUGGUUGGUUAACUUGUUUGGACCCAAGUACAUAGAUCUCAGCCACCAACAGUUUGAGUGUCCACCACCACCACACACGUAUGAACUAGUGGGACAUUUAGAGCAGUCACAAGUAUACCAACGCACAGUAGCAUUAAGCAUUCAGGCAGAUCCAGGAUUUCCCUCGACAUUUGUUAAACUGUAGGAGGUGCCGUCUUGACUGGUUUUAGCUACAACAGUAGAUGAAUGCAGCUAUAUCUUCCUUUGAUUUUGGAACUUUUGAAGAACAGCUUCUGGUUGGUUAACUUGUUUGGACCCAAGUACAUAGAUCUCAGCCACCAACAGUUUGAGUGUCCACCACCACCACACACGUAUGAACUAGUGGGACAUUUAGAGCAGUCACAAGUAUACCAACGCACAGUAGCAUUAAGCAUUCAGGCAGAUCCAGGAUUUCCCUCGACAUUUGUUAAACUGUAGGAGGUGCCGUCUUGACUGGUUUUAGCUACAACAGUAGAUGAAUGCAGCUAUAUCUUCCUUUGAUUUUGGAACUUUUGAAGAACAGCUUCUGGUUGGUUAACUUGUUUGGACCCAAGUACAUAGAUCUCAGCCACCAACAGUUUGAGUGUCCACCACCACCACACACGUAUGAACUAGUGGGACAUUUAGAGCAGUCACAAGUAUACCAACGCACAGUAGCAUUAAGCAUUCAGGCAGAUCCAGGAUUUCCCUCGACAUUUGUUAAACUGUAGGAGGUGCCGUCUUGACUGGUUUUAGCUACAAGCUGAUGUAAUGACAAUGAUUUCAUGGUGUUGGGAGUAAGAAUUGGAGAUCUGAUACUGCUAACAUGUUGGUUAGCAUCACAGCUUGUCCAUAGGGAUACUGGCUGGGGUAGCAUUUGGAUCUGUUUCAAGGUGUGUUCCUGCUGCUGCCUUGUGUGUUCAAUCCUGUGGACAAUAAUAAUCAUGCAAACCACAUAUAUGUUGCAUUUUUGUUUAUUAAAAUCCUUAAGUGAUAAUUCUGAAAGCCAAAUGAUUAAUUUUUUAAUGCUAUUAUUUAUUUUCCAUUUACUGUAAACUCACAAAUUUUUGUUUUUUAAUGCUGUUAUUUAUUUUCCAAUUAUUGAAAAUUCACAGAUUUUUGAUAUAUUUUUUUUACUGAAAAUUGCUACACCGAGAUAGAUUUUGCAAAAAUAAAAUUAUAUUUUAAAUUUUGAUAGCAUUAUUUAUUUGCAACAUGUCCUUAAUGACAAUAAUUAAUUUAAAUAAAUGCUUGCAAAUUUUUUUUGA